This 431-nucleotide long non-coding RNA is filed under the name Cairina moschata (Muscovy duck). RNAcentral describes it as "domestica (muscovy Duck (domestic type)) lncRNA (ENSCMMG00000005891.1)". Lineage: Eukaryota; Metazoa; Chordata; Aves; Anseriformes; Anatidae. The record is from RNAcentral.
UCAGCAUCACGUGUGUUUUCCUCACACAUAAACAAUAUUUUAGGCAGAGUUAUUUGCAGUACUCUGGUGUAGACAAUAAACACACAAAGCUAUUUUGUGAAAACGUGCAGCUCUUAAUUUAAAUCUGACUUUUGCUCUUAAAUCUUCAAAAAGAUGUGGAGAAGGACAGGAAAAAUAUGGAUGCUGCUGAGUUCCAGGCACCUCAAGACCUCAUUCUGCAGAUGGUGCUGAGCAGGGUUUGAUGUUGAGCUGCUGCAUCAUGGUCCUCCAUCCAAAUCCACACUGCAACAUUGGUAUGCCCGCUGCCAGUGGCCCAGGCUAAAAGGUGACUUUGAAGAAGAAGAUAAACUUUCCACACUGAUGAUGGAUUCUUUUUUCUGCUAUUUUGAUUAAAAAUGAAGCUGAAAAUCUUUUAAAGCUUUAGAGGCAGA